This 253-nucleotide ribosomal RNA is filed under the name uncultured bacterium. RNAcentral describes it as "partial 16S ribosomal RNA". It matches the Rfam family "Bacterial small subunit ribosomal RNA", at positions 524 to 776 of the family's 1533-position model. The record is from RNAcentral.
UACGGGGGGGGCAAGCGUUGUUCGGAAUUACUGGGCGUAAAGGGCUCGUAGGUGGCCAACUAAGUCAUACGUGAAAUCCCUCGGCUUAACCGGGGAACUGCGUCUGAUACUGGAUGGCUUGAGUUUGGGAGAGGGAUGCGGAAUUCCAGGUGUAGCGGUGAAAUGCGUAGAUAUCUGGAGGAACACCGGUGGCGAAGGCGGCAUCCUGGACCAACACUGACACUGAGGAGCGAAAGCCAGGGGAGCAAACAGG